Corvus hawaiiensis (hawaiian crow) is the source of this 340-nucleotide long non-coding RNA. RefSeq lists it as uncharacterized. The record is from RefSeq and is a predicted model, not a curated record. NCBI's taxonomy places the organism in Eukaryota, Metazoa, Chordata, Aves, Passeriformes, Corvidae. The transcript is spliced from 4 exons.
CUUUAGUUACAGCAUUCACUAACAAGACUAGACCUUCCUUCCUUUUUCCUUAACCACAGCAGUCACUAGGUGCUCAGGCAAUAAACCUAAGGGGAGAAACAGCAACUCACCUAAGAAACCAACAGUAGAAAUUCAGGACCAAUAACAGUGGGCAACUGCACAGAAGCCAAUGGAUUUACACCAGACCUGUUCUCCAACUUGACCAUAAAAGGAUUCCUCCAAUUUGCACUUCUAUCAUUUUCAAGCAAUGCAUGAAGCACCUGCUCUCAUGUUCCGCUAUCUAACGGCCAUGCCCAGCUAUUGACACGAUGCUCUUCACAUAUGAAUCCAAAAGUUCUUC